GGAUUCCCCUCCGAAAUUUUAGACUAAAAUAACCCAUUCCCUUCAAUUUCUUCCGUCUAAGUUGGGGAAACUUACAAAAAAAUACUUCAAAAAAUUAAAAUCUCUCAUCCCCUGUAAAGUUCUCAUUGUUGCUGCCCUAUCGCGGAGUCGCCACCUAUGGCCGAUCCUCACCAUAGCGCCACCAACCCCAGGCUGAAAAUAGCAUAGAGCCUACACGAGCACAAGUUUUUAUUUUAACUCAUAAACAACGUAGGGAUGGUCGACCACUUGAUGAUGAGUCUUCAAGGACAAUCGACAUGAUAAAUGAAAGAUUGAGGAGUAGUAGUGAGAGAUCGAAUGACCAGCCUCCUUACAGUGUUACUUGAAAAGGAGAUGCAUAUUCUCAAGUGUUGGGAAAUGAAAAAAGUGGGUAUGUUCGAGGUUUGUAACUUGGUCCAACUCCUUCGAUACUGUGGGGUGGUAAAUCUUCCAUAGAAAAUAUUGUUCCAGAGGAUUUGUCUAAUGAUGUAUGAAGGUUAGAAUAAAAGAUAAUAGAGUUAACAGAGUUAACGAAAAACAAAAUGAAGAAAUGAGUUUGAUGAAACAAGAAUUAUUAUGGAUGAGACAAGUCAUGUGCAAAAUCGCUCCUAAUGAGUUGUCGUCGCAGAAUAUCAGUCGAUUCUCAACUGAACAAGUAACUCAACUUCCAAAGAUUAAGAUAUUUUUUCAGAAAUUUUGAUCUUAUGAAUUAAUGUUAUAUAACAUGCUAAUAUUAAUCAGCUCCCUGAUGCCAACAGUGACCAUGAACGAGUACCACAAGCGCAACGAAUGCAUAGUGUUAGUGAAAAUACUCUAUCUUCUCAUGGUUAUGCAACGAGUACCAAAAACAUUAAGGAUACCUACUGUUGCUGAAAAUGCUUCACUUUCUCACGGUCAUACAGUCUGAUGAUCGAUAAUUUAGCGGGUCGAAGAUUUCAAUAUGAUGAAGAGUUACAUAAAUUAUUUGAAGACUAUUAUUCGUUAGGAUUAGUCAUAUAAUGACAUUAGCUAUUUACUUCAAACAAUAUAAGUUUAUUUUUAAGUUACUGUGAUAUUAAUAUUUUGGAUUAGUACUGUCUUUUAUUUGUUAAGAUUUAAUGAGAUACAUUAUGUUUUUAUGAA
Molecule: long non-coding RNA, 1140 nt
Organism: Nicotiana tabacum (common tobacco)
Lineage: Eukaryota; Viridiplantae; Streptophyta; Magnoliopsida; Solanales; Solanaceae
Source: RefSeq, a predicted model, not a curated record